This 435-nucleotide ribosomal RNA is filed under the name uncultured bacterium. Its description in RNAcentral is "bacterial SSU rRNA". It matches the Rfam family "Bacterial small subunit ribosomal RNA", at positions 958 to 1393 of the family's 1533-position model. The record is from RNAcentral.
AACGCGAAGAACCUUACCUGGGCUUGACAUGCACGGGAAAGCUCGUGGAAACACGGGCCCUCCUCACGGACUCGUGCACAGGUGCUGCAUGGCUGUCGUCAGCUCGUGUCGUGAGAUGUUGGGUUAAGUCCCGCAACGAGCGCAACCCUCGCUCCCAGUUGCCAGCGGUUCGGCCGGGGACUCUGGGGGGACUGCCGGUGAUAAACCGGAGGAAGGUGGGGAUGACGUCAAGUCCUCAUGGCCCUUAUGGGUAGGGCUUCACACGUAAUACAAUGGUCGGUACAGAGGGUCGCCAACCCGCGAGGGGGAGCCAAUCUCAGAAAGCCGAUCGUAGUCCGGAUUGUUCUCUGCAACUCGAGAGCAUGAAGUCGGAAUCGCUAGUAAUCGCGGAUCAGCAUGUCGCGGUGAAUACGUUCCCGGGUCUUGUACACACGC